UGACCGCUGGCGGCGUGCCUAAUACAUGCAAGUCGAGCGAACGGACGAGAAGCUUGCUUCUCUGAUGUUAGCGGCGGACGGGUGAGUAACACGUGGAUAACCUACCUAUAAGACUGGGAUAACUUCGGGAAACCGGAGCUAAUACCGGAUAAUAUUUUGAACCGCAUGGUUCAAAAGUGAAAGACGGUCUUGCUGUCACUUAUAGAUGGAUCCGCGCUGCAUUAGCUAGUUGGUAAGGUAACGGCUUACCAAGGCAACGAUGCAUAGCCGACCUGAGAGGGUGAUCGGCCACGCUGGAACUGAGACACGGUCCAGACUCCUACGGGAGGCAGCAGUAGGGAAUCUUCCGCAAUGGGUGAAAGCCUGACGGAGCAACGCCGCGUGAGUGAUGAAGGUCUUCGGAUCGUAAAACUCCGUUAUUAGGGAAGAACAUAUGUGUAAGUAACUGUGCACAUCUUGACGGUACCUAAUCAGAAAGCCACGGCUAACUACGUG
Molecule: ribosomal RNA, 495 nt
Filed under: uncultured bacterium
Lineage: Bacteria
Description: partial 16S ribosomal RNA
Rfam family: Bacterial small subunit ribosomal RNA
Source: RNAcentral